AACGAACGCUGGCGGCAUGCCUAACACAUGCAAGUCGAACGAGACCGCCCGGUCUAGUGGCGCACGGCUGCGUAACGCGUGGGGACCUGCCCUUAGGUUCGGAGUAACUCCCCGAAGGGGGAGCUCAUAACAGAUAAUGUAUUCGCACCAAGGACUUAUUGCCGUUGGAUGGGCCCGCGUUAGAUUAGCUAGUUGGUAGUGUACAAGCCUACCAAGGCGACGAUGCAUAGCUGGUCGGUGAGGAGGACCAGGCACGCUGGGACUGCGACACGGCCCAGACUCCUACGGGAGGGAGCAGUAUGGAAUACUGGACGCGGGGCGCAAGCCUGAUCCAGCAGUGCGGCGGGAGUGAUGAAGGCCUUAGUGUUGUAAUUUUGUUUUUCCCGGGAUGAUAAUGACGGUACCGGGUGAAGAAGCUCCGGCUAACUCCGUG
RNAcentral lists this ribosomal RNA (433 nucleotides) under uncultured bacterium. RNAcentral's name for it is "partial 16S ribosomal RNA". It matches the Rfam family "Bacterial small subunit ribosomal RNA", at positions 29 to 507 of the family's 1533-position model. The record is from RNAcentral.